AAAUUGAAGAGUUUGAUCAUGGCUCAGAUUGAACGCUGGCGGCAGGCCUAACACAUGCAAGUCGAACGGUAACAGGAAGCAGCUUACUGCUUCGCUGACGAGUGGCGGACGGGUGAGUAAUGUCUGGGAAACUGCCUGAUGGAGGGGGAUAACUACUGGAAACGGUGGCUAAUACCGCAUAACGUCGCAAGACCAAAGAGGGGGACCUUCGGGCCUCUUGCCAUCAGAUGUGCCCAGAUGGGAUUAGCUAGUUGGUGAGGUAACGGCUCACCAAGGCGACGAUCCCUAGCUGGUCUGAGAGGAUGACCAGCCACACUGGAACUGAGACACGGUCCAGACUCCUACGGGAGGCAGCAGUGGGGAAUAUUGCACAAUGGGCGCAAGCCUGAUGCAGCCAUGCCGCGUGU
This 407-nucleotide ribosomal RNA is filed under the name Salmonella enterica. Its description in RNAcentral is "bacterial SSU rRNA". It matches the Rfam family "Bacterial small subunit ribosomal RNA", at positions 1 to 404 of the family's 1533-position model. Lineage: Bacteria; Pseudomonadati; Pseudomonadota; Gammaproteobacteria; Enterobacterales; Enterobacteriaceae. The record is from RNAcentral.